AUGCCUGUAGGAUCCGAUAAUGACACAAUUGAGGAUGUCUAUGAAACAAGCAUGUCGUCUGCUAUACCUAGCGAGGUUGAUCCAUUAGACUUUGUCUACACAAACAUCCCAGACACCACUCACGUCCUGAAACUCGACGCAAACUGCAAACACUGCAAGGCCAAAUUUGUGUCUGAGACUGACGGGUUCUGCUAUCGCAAUGGACAGAUCAAACUUAAACAACCGGAACCAGUCCCAGAGCUGAUGAGACUAUGGUCCAGCAUGGAUGCAGAUUCUAGACAUUUUCGAGAGAACAUACGGUUCUUCAACGGGCAUUUUGCCUUCACAACCCUU
Molecule: ribosomal RNA, 333 nt
Filed under: Triticum aestivum (bread wheat)
Lineage: Eukaryota; Viridiplantae; Streptophyta; Magnoliopsida; Poales; Poaceae
Description: partial small subunit ribosomal RNA
Source: RNAcentral